This 302-nucleotide small nuclear RNA is filed under the name Octodon degus (degu). Its description in RNAcentral is "7SK RNA (ENSODEG00000024796.1)". It matches the Rfam family "7SK RNA". From Rfam's summary of the family: 7SK was discovered as an abundant small nuclear RNA in the mid-70s but a possible function has only recently been suggested. Two independent studies have found that 7SK RNA binds the CDK9/cyclin T complex (known as elongation factor P-TEFb). P-TEFb activates transcription by phosphorylating the C-terminal domain of RNA polymerase II. The record is from Rfam by way of RNAcentral. Lineage: Eukaryota; Metazoa; Chordata; Mammalia; Rodentia; Octodontidae.
GGAUGUGAGGGCGAGCUGGCUGCAACAUCUGUCAUCGUGUUGAUCGCCAAGGUUGAUUCGGCUGACCUGGCUGACCAGGUGGGUGUCCCUUUCCUCCCUCAACACUCCUUGUACAUCCCUCGUGAAGCUGUGAGCUAGGUCGAACAGGACAACCAUCCCACACAGAGUAAGACAGCUCCUCGGCCAAGGGGCUACAGACGGCUGCACUCGCCUGCUAGAACCUCAAAACAAGCUCUCAGACUUGCCAUGAGAAAUAACAAUCUUCAGGUACAUCCUGGAAAUAAUUAAUAUAUCUUUGUCUG